CGAGUUCACCUGCAGGUUAUAUGAACUCAGUUCACCUGCAGGUUAUGUGCCAGUCGGUUAUUUGGUUAUCUAGUUUUAAUUUCUAGUUACACAAAUUUAUAUUAAGACAAUUUUUAUGGUUAUGUAAAUUGGAUAAUUGGUUACGCGGAUCCAUAUUCAGGUUACACAGAUUUAUGUUAAAGUUAUACAAGUUUAUAUUCAGAUUACACAGGUUACACAGGUCUUUGUUUAGGUUACAUACGUUUAUACUCAGGUUAUGUGCCAGGCCAAUGUGCCGGUUGCUCUUCGUGCCA
RNAcentral lists this long non-coding RNA (293 nucleotides) under Elaeis guineensis (African oil palm). RNAcentral describes it as "long non-coding RNA (EGUI_LNC032834)". The record is from RNAcentral. Lineage: Eukaryota; Viridiplantae; Streptophyta; Magnoliopsida; Arecales; Arecaceae.